RNAcentral lists this long non-coding RNA (407 nucleotides) under Marmota monax (woodchuck). Lineage: Eukaryota; Metazoa; Chordata; Mammalia; Rodentia; Sciuridae. The record is from RNAcentral.
AACCUGGUCACUGCAGAAGACACAAGACUGCCUGGGCACAGGAAAGCACUCAGCACCAGGCCAGGUACACCACAGGUGCGAGAAAGUCACAAGUGGAACUUGAAUGAGCUCUGGCUGCCGCUGAAACUCUCUGCUUUCCCUACAGGGACAAAUUCCCAGGGGCCCAUGGUGAUCCACAGUGAUCAAAGAGAAAGGCUGUCUGUGACCUCUAUGGUGGCACCUCACUCAUCCCUUCAGAGAAAGCCCUUGCCCUCUGCCUACCCUAACCUCAGGAUUCCUUGCAGACUCAAAGACAAAUGAGGCUCCCUGCCUGGCUCCUUCUCUCAGCAGUCUCCCGCUUGACCAGAGGCCUCCAAGCUUACACUCAAACAAAAUCUUCAAUAAAAUGACCUCCAAAUCCUCUCCAU